This is a non-coding RNA of Mycena rebaudengoi, 102 nucleotides long. The record is from the annotation of a GenBank genome assembly. Lineage: Eukaryota; Fungi; Basidiomycota; Agaricomycetes; Agaricales; Mycenaceae.
GUCUUCGUGGAGUAAUGUAACUCACUCCCGCUUACUGAAUCCGAAUGUCAGUGGCCUUCAACCCACAUGGGAGAGUCGGUGGUUCGAAUCCACCCGAAGACA